AAAUCUCAACCCCUGCCAUCUUUGCGGAUGAGCGUCGGUUGGAUUUUGGAGGUUGCCGGACGGUGCCGUUCGGCUCCUCUUGAAUGCAUAGUAAAGCUUGGACUUGACCGACCGAGUGGACGUGAUAGAAAAGUCACCGUCGACUGAAGGGUCCGUCGUUGAACGGUUCAAGCUUUGUUUCAUCGUCUUCGGACGAACAUCUCUGAC
Molecule: unclassified non-coding RNA, 207 nt
Filed under: uncultured Laetiporus
Lineage: Eukaryota; Fungi; Basidiomycota; Agaricomycetes; Polyporales; Laetiporaceae
Description: sequence contains ITS2
Source: RNAcentral